This 224-nucleotide unclassified non-coding RNA is filed under the name plant metagenome. RNAcentral describes it as "partial contains small subunit ribosomal RNA, internal transcribed spacer 1, and 5.8S ribosomal RNA". The record is from RNAcentral.
UUUCCGUAGGUGAACCUGCGGAAGGAUCAUUAAAGAAUGCCCCGUUUUUCGAAAUGGGUUCUAUUCCCAAACCGUUUCUACAUACCUUUGUUGCUUUGGCGGGCCGCCUUCGGGCGUUGGCCUCGGCUAACUGUGCCCGCCAGAGGACCCAAACUCGUUUUGUUUAGUGAUGUCUGAGUACUAUAAAAUAGUUAAAACUUUCAACAACGGAUCUCUUGGUUCUG